CGCCGUAUGUGUCAGUCUGGUUUUAUACAGGGUUCAUAUACUGAUCACGUUAACCUCUCAUUAUCCUAAAAAGGUGGCUUAUGCAGUGGGUUCGGCAGUUGGAACUCCUCUUUUUAGACGAUAAAUUCUUUUAAAUUUGGCAAUUAUGUUUGGACUCUCCCCUUUUUUUUUAGAAAUAGGUAUAUGAUUUACCACUGGGCGUUUACGAUCGUCCAUCCUUCAAAACUAAAUUUCGAAUAUUAGAGAUUUGUAAAAACCUUUAUCAAAAUUUCCUAUUUCUAAAGUUUAGAUAGUUUAAUUACGUUUGUUGACCUUUAAGCUAAGAUGGACCUUUAAAUGUUUUUUUUUUUUUUUUUUUUGGGGGGGUUUUUGUUUUUCUAGUUUAAACAUUUUAUUUGUUUAAGUACAAAUUGAAUAAGACACAAGUCAAGCAGACAUAUGAAGUCUUCUCCAUUUAACAUUUAUAGCAAUAUAAUACAAAAGGUUUUUUGUUUCAUUAUGUGACUUUCUCAUUGUCGUUCAACCCAUAUCUACUUUUAACGAAAGACUUUCAAGUACAAUGUUUAGAAAUAUUUAAAAUGUUUAGAGUGUCACGUAUCCCUUCUUUUCAGAACCUGGAAAUAUAGGGCGAAUAUGGACACUCUUAGUUUGUGUUUUCUCUUAGGGACGACAUCAAAAGUUCAAUGUAGGAUAAAAAACUUAAUUCACAUAGUUUUUUUGCUGACCUCCCUACCCCCCCCCCCCUUCUUAACUUAAUUUGGGAAAAAUUGAUUUACCUAUAUGGAUAUAUGUAAAAUCAAUUUUAGAUUAACAAAACUUGCAGUAAUGUUGACCCCCCACCCACAAACUAUUCGAUUUAAGUUUUUUUUAUCCUACAUCGAUCUUUUAAUGUCGUCUCUUAUAUGUAAAGUUGUUGACUUU
Molecule: long non-coding RNA, 921 nt
Filed under: Mytilus galloprovincialis (Mediterranean mussel)
Lineage: Eukaryota; Metazoa; Mollusca; Bivalvia; Mytilida; Mytilidae
Source: RNAcentral